This 222-nucleotide ribosomal RNA is filed under the name Vibrio parahaemolyticus. Its description in RNAcentral is "partial 16S ribosomal RNA". It matches the Rfam family "Bacterial small subunit ribosomal RNA", at positions 1 to 220 of the family's 1533-position model. The record is from RNAcentral. Lineage: Bacteria; Pseudomonadati; Pseudomonadota; Gammaproteobacteria; Vibrionales; Vibrionaceae.
AAAUUGAAGAGUUUGAUCAUGGCUCAGAUUGAACGCUGGCGGCAGGCCUAACACAUGCAAGUCGAGCGGAAACGAGUUAUCAGAACCUUCGGGGAACGUUAACGGCGUCGAGCGGCGGACGGGUGAGUAAUGCCUAGGAAAUUGCCCUGAUGUGGGGGAUAACCAUUGGAAACGAUGGCUAAUACCGCAUGAUGCCUACGGGCCAAAGAGGGGGACCUUCGG